AUUGAACGCUGGCGGCAGGCCUAACACAUGCAAGUCGAGCGCGAAAAUUCCUUCGGGGAUGAGUAGAGCGGCGGACGGGUGAGUAACGCGUAGGAAUCUGCCCGGUAGUGGGGGACAACAGUCGGAAACGACUGCUAAUACCGCAUACGCCCUAAGGGGGAAAGCAGGGGAUCUUCGGACCUUGCGCUAUCGGAUGAGCCUGCGUCGGAUUAGCUUGUUGGUGGGGUAAUGGCCUACCAAGGCGACGAUCCGUAGCUGGUCUGAGAGGAUGAUCAGCCACACUGGGACUGAGACACGGCCCAGACUCCUACGGGAGGCAGCAGUGGGGAAUAUUGGACAAUGGGGGAAACCCUGAUCCAGCCAUGCCGCGUGUGUGAAGAAGG
RNAcentral lists this ribosomal RNA (383 nucleotides) under uncultured bacterium. RNAcentral describes it as "bacterial SSU rRNA". It matches the Rfam family "Bacterial small subunit ribosomal RNA", at positions 29 to 414 of the family's 1533-position model. The record is from RNAcentral.